Molecule: ribosomal RNA, 443 nt
Filed under: uncultured bacterium
Lineage: Bacteria
Description: partial 16S ribosomal RNA
Rfam family: Bacterial small subunit ribosomal RNA
Source: RNAcentral
CCUACGGGUGGCAGCAGUGGGGAAUAUUGGGCAAUGGGCGCAAGCCUGACCCAGCAACGCCGCGUGAAGGAAGAAGGCCUUCGGGUUGUAAACUUCUUUUGUCAGGGACGAAGCAAGUGACGGUACCUGACGAAUAAGCCACGGCUAACUACGUGCCAGCAGCCGCGGUAAUACGUAGGCGGCAAGCGUUAUCCGGAUUUACUGGGUGUACAGGGCGUGUAGGCGGGACUGCAAGUCAGGUGUGAAAACCACGGGCUCAACCUGUGACCUGCAUUUGAAACUGUAGUACUUGAGUACUGGAGAGGCAGACGGAAUGCCUAGUGUAGCGGUGAAAUGCGUAGAUAUUAGGAAGAACACCAGUGGCGAAGGCAGUCUACUGGACAGCAACUGACGCUGAGGCGCGAAAGCGUGGGGAGCAAACAGGAUUAGAUACCCCAGUAGUC